ACCCUAGUGGUGUAGUGGUCAGCACACUCGAAGCGUGUUCGAGAGUUCCGCGGUUCGAAUCCCGGCGAGGGUA
RNAcentral lists this transfer RNA (73 nucleotides) under Stegodyphus mimosarum. It matches the Rfam family "tRNA". Rfam says of the family: Transfer RNA (tRNA) molecules are approximately 80 nucleotides in length. Lineage: Eukaryota; Metazoa; Arthropoda; Arachnida; Araneae; Eresidae. The record is from Rfam by way of RNAcentral.